CCCUGACAGCUUUAUAAUAAAGCUGACUAUAGCCAAGACAGGAGAUCUAAAUG
Molecule: non-coding RNA, 53 nt
Filed under: unclassified sequences
Description: Mu-gpT-DE RNA
Rfam family: Mu-gpT-DE RNA
Source: Rfam by way of RNAcentral